CUAAGAAUCUUCCGCAAUGGACGAAAGUCUGACGGAGCGACGCCGCGUGAACGACGAAGGCCGUGAGGUUGUAAAGUUCUUUUCCGGGGGGGGAAUAAGCGUGGCAGGGAAUGGCCGCGCGAUGACGUGAACCCGGGAAUAAGCCCCGGCUAACUACGUGCCAGCAGCCGCGGUAACACGUAGGGGGCGAGCGUUGUUCGGAAUCAUUGGGCGUAAAGGGUGCGCAGGCGGCCGACCGAGUCUGGUGUGAAAUACCCCGGCCCAACCGGGGGGGCGCGCUGGAAACUGGUCGGCUGGAGUGCAGGAGGGGGAGUCGGAAUUCCAGGUGUAGGGGUGAAAUCUGUAGAUAUCUGGAAGAACACCGGUGGCGAAGGCGGACUCCUGGCCAUGCACUGACGCUGAGGCACGAAGGCGUGGGGAGCAAACAGG
Molecule: ribosomal RNA, 429 nt
Filed under: uncultured prokaryote
Also listed under: 1 other name
Description: partial 16S ribosomal RNA
Rfam family: Bacterial small subunit ribosomal RNA
Source: RNAcentral